This 254-nucleotide ribosomal RNA is filed under the name uncultured bacterium. RNAcentral describes it as "partial 16S ribosomal RNA". It matches the Rfam family "Bacterial small subunit ribosomal RNA", at positions 524 to 776 of the family's 1533-position model. The record is from RNAcentral.
UACAGAGGUCCCGAGCGUUGUUCGGAUUCAUUGGGCGUAAAGGGUGCGUAGGCGGUUAGGUAAGUUUGAUGUGAAAUCCUGGGGCUCAACCCUGGAACUGCAUUGAAUACUGCUUGACUAGAGUACUGGAGAGGAAACUGGAAUUCACGGUGUAGAGGUGAAAUUCGUAGAUAUCGAGAGGAACACCGGUGGCGAAGGCGGCCUUCUGGACAGUGACUGACGCUGAGACGCGAAAGCGUGGGGGAGCAAACAGG